This 979-nucleotide ribosomal RNA is filed under the name Citrobacter sp. RNAcentral describes it as "bacterial SSU rRNA". It matches the Rfam family "Bacterial small subunit ribosomal RNA", at positions 480 to 1459 of the family's 1533-position model. The record is from RNAcentral. Lineage: Bacteria; Pseudomonadati; Pseudomonadota; Gammaproteobacteria; Enterobacterales; Enterobacteriaceae.
CGCAGAAGAAGCACUGGCUAACUCCGUGCCAGCAGCCGCGGUAAUACGGAGGGUGCAAGCUUAAUCGGAAUUACUGGGCGUAAAGCGCACGCAGGCGGUCUGUCAAGUCGGAUGUGAAAUCCCCGGGCUCAACCUGGGAACUGCAUUCGAAACUGGCAGGCUUGAGUCUCGUAGAGGGGGGUAGAAUUCCAGGUGUAGCGAUGAAAUGCGUAGAGAUCUGGAGGAAUACCGGUGGCGAAGGCGGCCCCUUGGACGAAGACUGACGCUCAGGUGCGAAAGCGUGGGGAGCAAACAGGAUUAGAUACCCUGGUAGUCCACGCCGUAAACGAUGUCUACUUGGAGGCUGUGCCCGUGAGGCGUGGCUUCAGGAGCUAACGCGUUAAGUAGACCGCCUGGGGAGUACGGCCGCAAGGUUAAAACUCAAAUGAAUUGACGGGGGCCCGCACCAGCGGUGGAGCAUGUGGUUUAAUUCGAUGCAACGCGAAGAACCUUACCUGGUCUUGACAUCCACGGAAGACUGCAGAGAUGCGGUUGUGCCUUCGGGAACCGUGAGACAGGUGCUGCAUGGCGGUCGUCAGCUCGUGUUGUGAAAUGUUGGGUUAAGUCCCGCAACGAGCGCAACCCUUAUCCUUUGUUGCCAGCGGUCCGGCCGGGAACUCAAAGGAGACUGCCAGUGAUAAACUGGAGGAAGGUGGGGAUGACGUCAAGUCAUCAUGGCCCUUACGACCAGGGCUACACACGUGCUACAAUGGCAUAUACAAAGAGAAGCGACCUCGCGAGAGCAAGCGGACCUCAUAAAGUAUGUCGUAGUCCGGAUUGGAGUCUGCAACUCGACUCCAUGAAGUCGGAAUCGCUAGUAAUCGUGGAUCAGAAUGCCACGGUGAAUACGUUCCCGGGCCUUGUACACACCGCCCGUCACACCAUGGGAGUGGGUUGCAAAAGAAGUAGGUAGCUUACACCUUCGGGAGGGCGCUUACCA